This 578-nucleotide long non-coding RNA is filed under the name Manihot esculenta (cassava). Its description in RNAcentral is "long non-coding RNA (MESC_LNC009178)". Lineage: Eukaryota; Viridiplantae; Streptophyta; Magnoliopsida; Malpighiales; Euphorbiaceae. The record is from RNAcentral.
GCAGCGCAAGGUGGUCGGGAUCGAAAUGCAGAGUGGGUCUGAGGUAGGCUUCAGAGAGGACCGUGUAGGAUGCCUAGAAGGUUGAUGUCAGCUGUCAGGCUCGUAGAGUGUAUAGGAAUGGUUAGUAGAGAGUUUUAGUUGAGUUCGAGAGGGCAGCAGGCAGGUCUAGGAACCAGCCCUGGUGCCAUAGAUAGAGCGAGUGUUCAGAGGUUUCAGGCUAGUGUCAGGUUGGCCAUCAAUCAGGGAGGUAGAGUUUGGUUCAGAAGUGGUGCUUGGUACCCAUAACCAUUUCUCUCUUUCCUUACGGGAUGGUACCUGCAGAGAGUAAGAGUAUAGCAGAGAAGAGUAAGAGUAGAAUAGAAAGCAGAAGAGAAGAGUAAGAUCAGUAAAGGAAGAAGAAGAGAAGGAUCAGAGUAGCGCAGCAGAAGCUUGUGGCGUUCAAGCCCAAGUUUGUGUUUCUUGUUUGUUUGUGUUUUUGUUUGAACAUUCGGGGACGAAUGUUCUGUAAGGGGGGAAGAAUGUAAGACCCCGCUCGUUCAGACAUCGGAAUUCCUACCGUCCGGUGGAAUCUCGGGUGU